UACGUAGGGUGCAAGCGUUGUCCGGAAUCAUUGGGCGUAAAGCGCGUGUAGGCGGCUCGGCAAGUCCGCUGUGAAAGUCGGGGGCUCAACCCUCGAAUGCCGGUGGAUACUGUCGGGCUAGAGUGCGGGAGAGGCGAGUGGAAUUCCUGGUGUAGCGGUGAAAUGCGCAGAUAUCGGGAGGAACACCCGUAGCGAAGGCGGCACUGUGGGCCGGAACUGACGCUGAGGAGCGAAAGCGUGGGGAGCAAACAGG
This 253-nucleotide ribosomal RNA is filed under the name uncultured bacterium. Its description in RNAcentral is "partial 16S ribosomal RNA". It matches the Rfam family "Bacterial small subunit ribosomal RNA", at positions 524 to 776 of the family's 1533-position model. The record is from RNAcentral.